This 83-nucleotide ribosomal RNA is filed under the name Enterococcus faecalis EnGen0279. The record is from RNAcentral. Lineage: Bacteria; Bacillati; Bacillota; Bacilli; Lactobacillales; Enterococcaceae.
UGGUGGCGAUAGCGAGAAGGAUACACCUGUUCCCAUGCCGAACACAGAAGUUAAGCUUCUUAGCGCCGAUUGUAGUGAAGGGU